AGGACGAACGCUGGCGGCGUGCUUAACACAUGCAAGUCGAGCGGAAAGGCCCUUCGGGGUACUCGAGCGGCGAACGGGUGAGUAACACGUGAGUAAUCUGCCCCUAGCUCUGGGAUAGCUCCGGGAAACCGGGAUUAAUACCGGAUACGACCACUUUAGACAUCUGUUGUGGUGGAAAGAAUUUGGCUAGGGAUGAGCUCGCGGCCUAUCAGCUUGUUGGUGGGGUAACGGCCUACCAAGGCGACGACGGUA
Molecule: ribosomal RNA, 252 nt
Filed under: uncultured bacterium
Lineage: Bacteria
Description: partial small subunit ribosomal RNA
Rfam family: Bacterial small subunit ribosomal RNA
Source: RNAcentral